AGAACGAACGCUGGCGGCAUGCCUAAUACAUGCAAGUCGAACGAACUCUUCGGAGUUAGUGGCGCACGGGUGCGUAACGCGUGGGAAUCUGCCCCUUGGUUCGGAAUAACAGUUGGAAACGACUGCUAAUACCGGAUGAUGACGAAAGUCCAAAGAUUUAUCGCCAAGGGAUGAGCCCGCGUAGGAUUAGCUAGUUGGUGAGGUAAGGCUCACCAAGGCAACGAUCCUUAGCUGGUCUGAGAGGAUGAUCAGCCACGACUGGGACUGAGACACGGCCCAGACCUCCGUACGGGAGGCAGCAGUAGGGAAUAGUUGGACAAGUGGGACGAAAGGCCUGAUCCAGCAAUGCCGCGUGAGUGAGUGAAGGCCGUUAGGUUAGUAAA
RNAcentral lists this ribosomal RNA (383 nucleotides) under uncultured soil bacterium. RNAcentral's name for it is "bacterial SSU rRNA". It matches the Rfam family "Bacterial small subunit ribosomal RNA", at positions 26 to 429 of the family's 1533-position model. The record is from RNAcentral.